GGGUCUCAAUCUUAACACGGCCGACAAUAGCUGUUCGCAUUUUGCCUGUUUGAUCGACCACAAUCACCUCUUUGCCCGCUUUUAACUCGGAAAGAUAGCUUGUUUUACCUCCAGGGGUAGCUACAUAAGCAUGCACAGGCCCCUGCAUAUUUCCAUGAGAUCUUGUUCAAAGAAUUUGCAUUAUAGAAGUAACACUUCAUGAUAAGCAAGGCAUGAAAAUGCCUCUGGAUAUAUCCGAACUCAGAAGAAAAGAUGAAAACUAAGUGAAUUGCUCUGAUAAAUGAUCGGUUGCUUUCUGCCAUGACAUUUUUGGAAUCUCUAGCGUAAGCUAAAGAGAUCUCUUCUACAGUUGUAACCAAGCGUGAAGGCAAAACUUAUAGCAUUGACUCGAAAAGGUCUACUUGCAAUGUAACUCGACUCCAAACAUUCCGAGUGAACAAGAAAAAGUCCUCUAGCAAAUGACCCAACC
This 469-nucleotide long non-coding RNA is filed under the name Gossypium barbadense (sea-island cotton). Its description in RNAcentral is "long non-coding RNA (GBAR_LNC006731)". Lineage: Eukaryota; Viridiplantae; Streptophyta; Magnoliopsida; Malvales; Malvaceae. The record is from RNAcentral.